This 1321-nucleotide ribosomal RNA is filed under the name Amphioctopus neglectus. RNAcentral's name for it is "16S ribosomal RNA". The stretch from base 1070 to 1229 matches the Rfam family "Bacterial large subunit ribosomal RNA", at positions 2473 to 2632 of the family's 2925-position model. Lineage: Eukaryota; Metazoa; Mollusca; Cephalopoda; Octopoda; Octopodidae. The record is from RNAcentral.
UGAUAUUAUUUUGGUUUUGUGUAGAUUUUAUUUUUAAUUUUUGUUAAAAGUUUUAUAUUUUAUAGUAAUGGGUAUAGAAAUAAUUUUUAUUUAGUACUGAAGGGGAUUAUAAUUUUAUUAUAUUUAUAGUAGAAAUUAAAGUUUGUACCUUUUGUAUAAUGGUUUAAUAAUAUUUAUUGAUAUAUUUUAUUUUCUCGAAAUAUAAAGAUUUAUUUACUUUAUAUUAAUUUAUAAUAGUUAGCGUGGUAUAGUUAUUAUUUUAAAGGUAAAUGGUAGUGAAAUGUUAUUCGGUUUAUAUGGUAGCUCGUUUAUUAUUAUAAACAUUUUAGUGUUAUUUAAAUUUAAUUAUUGUUGGUAAUUGUAAUUUUAAUUUAGUUUUUAAGGGAUAAGCUUUAAAAUUUAGUUUGUAAGAAUUGUAAUAUAAUUAUAUAAUUAAAGUUGAAUUAAUAGUUUUUCUUUUCGUUAUUUUAUUAAUAAUUUUAUUUGUUUUUGUUCUUAAUUUUAUUUUAAUAAAUUUUUUUUAUUUAUUUAAAAUUAAAUAUAAUGUUAAAAUGAGUAUUUUAUAUUGUUUAAUUUAAUGCUUUUAAAUUAAUUUUGGAAAUUAGGUUUUUAUUAUAUAUAUAUGGAUAAAUUAAGUUAAAGGAACUUUGCAAAUAUUAAUUUCGCCUGUUUAUCAAAAACAUGUCUCUUUGAGUUUUUUUAAUAGGGAGUUGGGCCUGCUCGGUGAUUAAUAUUUAACAGCUGCGGUAUUAUAACUGUACUAAGGUAGCAUAAUAAUUUGCCUUAUAAAUUGAGGCUAGAAUGAAUGGUUUGACGAAAAUUAUACUGUCUCUAUUUUAUUCAUUAGAAGUUAAUUUUUAUAGUGAGAAAGCUUGAAUAAUUUAAAGGGACGAAAAGACCCUAUUGAGCUUUAUAUUAUAUUUUAAAUUUGAUUUUUAUUUAUUUAUUUAUAUAUAAUUUUGGUUGGGGUGAUCAAGGAAUAAAAUGUAUUUUAUGUUAACUUCCUUAAAUGGUGAUAUUUAUAAAUGAAUAAACCAAAUUUUUUGCUUAGAAGAUAAGUUACCAUAGGGAUAACAGCGUAAUUUUUUUUGAAAGUUCAUAUUGAAAAAAGAGAUUGCGACCUCGAUGUUGGAUUAAAAUAACCUUAAGGUGAAGAGGCUUUAAUUGGUAAAUCUGUUCGAUUUUUAAAAUUUUACAUGAUCUGAGUUCAAACCGGUGUAAACCAGGUUGGUUUUUAUCUUUUAAAUUUAUUUUUAUAUUUAGUUUAGUACGAAAGGAUUGAUUAAGAUUAAUUUAUAUAUUAAUUUUUUUAUAAAACUUU